GACGAACGCUGGCGGCGUGCUUAACACAUGCAAGUCGAACGGAAAGGCCCUGCUUUUGUGGGGUGCUCGAGUGGCGAACGGGUGAGUAACACGUGAGUAACCUGCCCUUGACUUUGGGAUAACUUCAGGAAACUGGGGCUAAUACCGGAUAGGAGCUCCUGCUGCAUGGUGGGGGUUGGAAAGUUUCGGCGGUUGGGGAUGGACUCGCGGCUUAUCAGCUUGUUGGUGGGGUAGUGGCUUACCAAGGCUUUGACGGGUAGCCGGCCUGAGAGGGUGACCGGCCACAUUGGGACUGAGAUACGGCGCAGACUCCUACGGGAGGCAGCAGUGGGGAAUAUUGCACAAUGGGCGGAAGCCUGAUGCAGCAACGCCGCGUGCGGGAUGACGGCCUUCGGGUUGUAAACCGCUUUCGCCUGUGACGAAGCGUGAGUGACGGUAAUGGGUAAAGAAGCACCGGCUAACUAUGUG
Molecule: ribosomal RNA, 468 nt
Filed under: uncultured bacterium
Lineage: Bacteria
Description: partial 16S ribosomal RNA
Rfam family: Bacterial small subunit ribosomal RNA
Source: RNAcentral